UAUAGUUGUAGUUUCUCAUGCCUCGAGAGAAAUAACCUCUUUACAGGAAAUUACAACAUUAGAUCUUUGCUGCAAAACUUCGUCAAGAAUGUGCGUAAGCACCGAGAGUAUUAGUCAUGUUACGCUUCUUAUAAAGCCAGCGGAUGUUCAUUAUGAUUCCUCAUGAAUUAGUAUUCUCCAAAGGUCCCCUCUUAUCUCUUCGAGGAACUGCAAUUUGAUACUAUUUUUCCAGCCAGGUCAUUGUUUUGUCUGCCUGAUUGCAUGAGAAUGAAAGAAAAAGUCCUGCUACGUUUAUUCAAAGGGACAUUUUGGAAGUCCUGAAAAUUCUUAAGGCUAAACGUUAGACCCAUAGAGGAGGAUUUUAUAUAUCAAGAUGGAUAAGACACUGGAGAAAAAGUUCCGGUCUGACCAGAUGUUUAACCUCAUAAACAAAAAAUUUGUUUCUUUACAAAAAGACGAUAUCAAAAAGAAUAAUCAACACUUAAGUAAGGUCUGAAAAAUUCUAAAUGUCAUAAUGUUU
Orussus abietinus is the source of this 520-nucleotide long non-coding RNA. RefSeq lists it as uncharacterized. The record is from RefSeq and is a predicted model, not a curated record. NCBI's taxonomy places the organism in Eukaryota, Metazoa, Arthropoda, Insecta, Hymenoptera, Orussidae. The transcript has 3 exons.